UACCAGCACCCCGAGUGGUCGGGACGUUUAUUGGGCCUAAAGCAUCCGUAGCCGGUUCUACGAGUCUUCCGUUAAAUCCAACUGCUUAACAGGUGGGCUGCGGAAGAUACUAUAGAGCUAGGAGGCGGGAGAGGCAAGCGGUACUCGAUGGGUAGGGGUAAAAUCCGUUGAUCCAUUGAAGACCACCAGUGGCGAAGGCGGCUUGCCAGAACGCGCUCGACGGUGAGGGAUGAAAGCUGGGGGAUCAAACCGG
Molecule: ribosomal RNA, 253 nt
Filed under: uncultured bacterium
Lineage: Bacteria
Description: partial 16S ribosomal RNA
Rfam family: Archaeal small subunit ribosomal RNA
Source: RNAcentral